Molecule: long non-coding RNA, 461 nt
Organism: Callorhinus ursinus (northern fur seal)
Lineage: Eukaryota; Metazoa; Chordata; Mammalia; Carnivora; Otariidae
Source: RefSeq, a predicted model, not a curated record
GUGCUGGGGCUGCCACCCUGCUGUGAUAUUUUAAGUUUCAGGCUGGGCGGAGCCAGGAAAUGAAGAAGUCCAUGCAAAACCAAAGUGUAACACGUGCAGGUCCUGGGUGGCUCCAGGGGCUUUGCUGCACCAAGAAGACAUUGGCCUCCAUUCCAGUGGUGAAGGAGGGAAGGAUGGAUGGAAGAAAGGUGAAAUCCAGAAAGUAGAGAGGAAGACAAAAAAUACCUACAACACCGUCAUCCAGAGAGAUAACCACUGUUAACAUUCUGGUUACAAGAAGCUUUCACAGGAAUGUCGCUGAAUUCUGCUUAAUGUCUUUCAAAAUACCUAUCAGGACAGUUAUCAACAAUUAUGUGUCUAUUUUGACUUACUGAUGUGACAGAUUAAUGUUUUUCUUAAUGUUGAAUUCUCCUUUCACAAUGGAAUGAACUCCACUUACUCACAAUAUAUUAAAUAUCAUA